AGCUUGGCUAACAAGCAAGAUCAGCAGGCAUUUGUGAAAGAGUUUAACGAGAGACUUUGAAAGAAAGGCCCAGAAAUCCAUUCCAGUACCUAUUUAGGACUACUGAAUAUGGAUGGUGAAAAAGUUGUUGCAGUCAUCUGCAACAGUUGUGGUACGUUUGUUUUCUUGUUAGAAUGUGUGGACGCCUCACUUGCAGCAGGUGCAAGUUGGUGCCCUCUUGGAAGAGAAGAUCUAGCAACUUGAGGCAUGUGUAUUUACUCUUCAGCACAUUAGGAAGCAUGAGGAUGUCUUGGACAGAAUGGAGCAGACUGUCCUGGAUAAGGAACAUGGAGGGAAUGUUUCAGAGGAGGAGGGAAGUUCCCAAACACAAGAGGCAGAUGUUUGUAAGAAUGCAACAUAUAGAAGUGGAGGGACCAGGAUCAUUCUGUGAGUUUACAGCUGCAAAACUGAUUUAAGUUCUCUCCCCUUUCAGUGAUAAUGAGGAUCAGGCACAGUCCUCAGGAAAUGUGCAGAUGACCUUGGAAGAUUCAGCACAUGGAAUGGCCCCUGCCAUUCCCCAGAAAAGAGACUAUGGUUGUGGUAGGGGACUCCCUACUGAGGGAAAUACAAACAAUGAUUUGCAGGCCUGGCAGGAGAGAUGUGUUUGCGGUAGGAGACUCCCUGCUGAGGAAUAGAAAUAAUGAUUUGCAGGCCUGAUAGGAUGUCUUUAAAAGUGUACUUUCUCCCUGGGGUGAGAAUCCAUGAUGUAACACAGAGGCUGACAAGACUCAUCAAGUUUACAGACUGCUGUCCCUUCCAUUCGGUCUAUAUGAGAAUUAAUGACACUGCACAACAUGAUGGUUGGGAGUUCCUUAAAAGUGAGAUAUUGAAGGCACAAUUUCAAACAGUUCCAGUGAGGAGGAAGAAACUAAAAAAAAACCAGGAUGGGUGUCUAAAGAAUUUUCCACAGAGCUAAGAUUUAAAAGGGA
Molecule: long non-coding RNA, 968 nt
Organism: Sphaerodactylus townsendi
Lineage: Eukaryota; Metazoa; Chordata; Lepidosauria; Squamata; Sphaerodactylidae
Exons: 2
Source: RefSeq, a predicted model, not a curated record